CAGUAGCCACGGUAAUACGUAGGGUGCAAGCGUUAAUCGGAAUUACUGGGCGUAGAGCGUGCGCAGGCGGUUUGUUAAGACAGAUGUGAAAUCCCCGGGCUCAACCUGGGAACUGCAUUGGUGACUGGCAGGCUAGAGUGUGGCAGAGGGGGGUGGAAUUCCGCGUGUAGCAGUGAAAUGCGUAGAGAUCGGAAGGAACAUCUGUGGCGAAGGCGACUAUCUGGGCCAACACUGACACUGAGGCACGAAAGCGUGGGGAGCAAACAGGAUUAGAUACCCGCGUAGUCCCUGUCUCUUAUAC
This 301-nucleotide ribosomal RNA is filed under the name uncultured bacterium. Its description in RNAcentral is "partial 16S ribosomal RNA". It matches the Rfam family "Bacterial small subunit ribosomal RNA", at positions 509 to 807 of the family's 1533-position model. The record is from RNAcentral.